This 253-nucleotide ribosomal RNA is filed under the name uncultured bacterium. RNAcentral's name for it is "partial 16S ribosomal RNA". It matches the Rfam family "Bacterial small subunit ribosomal RNA", at positions 524 to 776 of the family's 1533-position model. The record is from RNAcentral.
UACAGAGGUCCCAAGCGUUGUUCGGAUUCACUGGGCAUAAAGGGUGCGUAGGUGGCCAGGUAAGUUUGGUGUGAAAGCUCGGAGCUUAACUCCGAAAAGUCAUUGAAUACUAUCUGGCUGGAGGGUCGGAGGGGAGACUGGAAUUCUCGGUGUAGCAGUGAAAUGCGUAGAUAUCGAGAGGAACACCAGUGGCGAAGGCGAGUCUCUGGACGACUCCUGACACUGAGGCACGAAAGCUAGGGGAGCAAACAGG